UAAGCCAAAGAAAAAGGGAAAAAGAAUAGAAACAAACCUUGAGGAAGAAAAUUCAAGAGAAAUUCAUCGAUUUUCGAAAAAUGAAGCGAUCUGAGGUGGUGAGCCCUUUAGUAAGGUUAAGGAUAUCGUACCCGAGGACCAGGAGUAGGAGUACUCCCAUUAUUGUUCAGCGCAGUCUGUAGACAGUUAAUUUUGUCGAGGGUUUGCUUUUGGAUUUGCACCCUCAGAAAUCAUAGGUCUACAGUCUUGUUUAUUUUUGUUAUUUUGGAGCUCACAUGUCAUUGUAGAAUAUUUUUGUAUA
Non-coding RNA from Theobroma cacao (cacao), 301 nucleotides. The record is from RefSeq and is a predicted model, not a curated record. Lineage: Eukaryota; Viridiplantae; Streptophyta; Magnoliopsida; Malvales; Malvaceae.